Molecule: unclassified non-coding RNA, 151 nt
Filed under: uncultured Ascomycota
Lineage: Eukaryota; Fungi; Ascomycota
Description: partial internal transcribed spacer 2
Source: RNAcentral
AACCCUUCAAGCUCUGCUUGGUGUUGGGCGUUUGUCUCCGCCUCUGUGCGGGGACUCGCCUCAAAUUCAUUGGCAGCCGGUAAGUUGGCUUCGUGCGCAGCACAUUGCGUCGCGACUCCAGCGUGCCUCCUCCCAUCAAGACCUUCUAUUA